GCCACGAGAGGGAAGUCCAGUCACAGCAGACAACUUUGCGGGCAGCAGCUGAGCAGAGGAGAAGAUGGGGGGCUUUACUCAUAACAAGUGGCCAUAAAAGAGCCCAGGAGCUGAAGCACAAAGAUACAACCAAUCUCACUUCCUCUCCUCCCGUUGCUUUGGGAAACCCAGACGAUGGAAACAGCUGGGGAGGAGGGGGCCGCUUCCUCCACAGGGACACCUGGCCUUAGGGGUUAUAAUGAAGGGUCACAGGGCCGGAGCUUGUGAGGUGUGGGUGGACCAGUGCCUUGUUAGGGAAGGGCAGGAAAAGGGGGGUAAAACCCCAUCUUCCUCAUUAUCUGUACAGUCCCCUGGGCAGAAGGAGGUGUUUCCUCCCCCGGGGAAAGCAUGCAGGUCUGUUGCUAGCUUCCCUGAACUCCAGAGCUGUUUUGUCACCCUCAGGGUGGAGGAAGUAAAUUGGGUUGCUUGGGAGAAGACUCUUCCCACCUUAUCUGAGGAUCCAUCAGGGCCAGGCAUCACUGGUGAGUGGCCUUGGGGCUGGAGCCCUUGCCCUGGUUCUUGUGAGCAUGUGCUGUGGGCUUGCUGGCAAAACAGCCUUUGGAAGUCCUGGUGGGACUCAGAGCCAGGUUCUGUGAUUGCUUUGCAGCUGCACCCACACCUGCUCCUCCUACAGGAAUUGGUGUCUGGGUCUCUCUCUAGCCCAAGCCUGCUCUGCUGGCUUGUCUGGGGAAAGAACCUUAGUUCUCAGUACU
RNAcentral lists this long non-coding RNA (752 nucleotides) under Rattus norvegicus (Norway rat). RNAcentral's name for it is "long non-coding RNA NONRATT004377". Lineage: Eukaryota; Metazoa; Chordata; Mammalia; Rodentia; Muridae. The record is from RNAcentral.